CCCUUUGUGACAUACCUAUAACUGUUGCUUCGGCGGGUAGGGUCUCCGCGACCCUCCCGGCCUCCCGCCUCCGGGCGGGUCGGCGCCCGCCGGAGGAUAACCAAACUCUGAUUUAACGACGUUUCUUCUGAGUGGUACAAGCAAAUAAUCAAAACUUUUAACAACGGAUCUCUUGGUUCUGGCAUCGAUGAAGAACGCAGCGAAAUGCGAUAAGUAAUGUGAAUUGCAGAAUUCAGUGAAUCAUCGAAUCUUUGAACGCACAUUGCGCCCGCCAGCAUUCUGGCGGGCAUGCCUGUUCGAGCGUCAUUUCAACCCUCAAGCUCUGCUUGGUGUUGGGGCCCUACAGCUGAUGUAGGCCCUCAAAGGUAGUGGCGGACCCUCUCGGAGCCUCCUUUGCGUAGUAACUUUACGUCUCGCACUGGGAUCCGGAGGGACUCUUGCCGUAAAACCCCCAAUUUUCCAAAGGUUGACCUCGGAUCAGGUAGGAAUACCCGCUGAACUU
This 502-nucleotide ribosomal RNA is filed under the name Colletotrichum gloeosporioides. RNAcentral's name for it is "eukaryotic LSU rRNA". The stretch from base 153 to 306 matches the Rfam family "5.8S ribosomal RNA". Lineage: Eukaryota; Fungi; Ascomycota; Sordariomycetes; Glomerellales; Glomerellaceae. The record is from RNAcentral.